GACGAACGCUGGCGGCGUGCCUAAUACAUGCAAGUCGAACGCAGGGGGGACGGGUGAGUAACACGUGGGUAACCUCCCAUCAGAGGGGAUAACACUUGGAAACAGGUGCUAAACCGAUACUGAUGGAUGGACCCGCGGUGCAUUAGCUAGUUGGUGAGGUAACGGCUAACCAAGGCCACGAUGCAUAGCCGAGCUGAGAGGGUGAUCUGCCACACUGGGACUGAGACACGGCCCAGACUCCGACGGGAGGCAGCAGUGGAGAAUAUUCCGCAAUGGGGGAAAGUCUGACCGAGCAACGCCGCGUGAGUGAAGAAGGUGUUCGGGUCGUAAAAUUCUGUUGUUAGAGAGGCGGUAUCUAACCAGAAAGCCACGGCUAACUCCGUGCCAGCGGCCGCGGUAAUAC
This 403-nucleotide ribosomal RNA is filed under the name uncultured bacterium. RNAcentral describes it as "partial 16S ribosomal RNA". It matches the Rfam family "Bacterial small subunit ribosomal RNA", at positions 28 to 526 of the family's 1533-position model. The record is from RNAcentral.